CCACUAGUAACGGCCGGCCCAGGUUGCUGGAAUUCGGCUUGCUUAAAGGGGCCGUAGCCGACUAGGCAAGUCUCCAGUUAAAUCCAACGAAAGGAUCGUUGGGCUGCUGGAGAUACUGCCUAGUUAGGGGGCAGGAGAGGCUGACGGUAUUCCUGGGUUAGGGGUGAAAUCCUAUAACCCUAGGAGGACCACCAAUGGCGAAGGCAGUCAGCUAGAAUGCGCCCGACGGUGAAGGACGAAAGCUGGGGGAGCAAACCGGAUUAGAUACCCGGGUAGUCCCAGCCGUAAACGAUGCAGGCUAGGAGUUGGGAUAGCCACGAGCUAUCCCAGUUCCGCAGAGAAGUCAUUAAGCCUGCCGCUUGGGAAGUACGGCCGCAAGGCUGAAACUUAAAGGAAUUGGCGGGGAAGCGCCACAAGGGGUGAAGCCUGCGGUUUAAUUGGAGUCAACGCCGGGAAACUUACCGGGAGAGACAGCAGGAUGAGGUUAAGGCUAAAUACCUUAACCGACGAGCUGAGAGGAGGUACAUGGCCGUCGUCAGCUCGUGCUGUGAAGUGUCCUGUUAAGUCAGGCAACGAGCGAGAUCCCCACUCCUAGUUGCUACUGUUCCUACAGUUGUAGGAACAGGCACUCUAGGAGGACAGUUGCCGAUUAGGGCAAAGGAAGGGGAGGGCGACGACAGGUCCGCAUGCCCCUAA
This 696-nucleotide ribosomal RNA is filed under the name uncultured crenarchaeote. RNAcentral's name for it is "bacterial SSU rRNA". It matches the Rfam family "Archaeal small subunit ribosomal RNA", at positions 467 to 1160 of the family's 1478-position model. Lineage: Archaea; Thermoproteati; Thermoproteota. The record is from RNAcentral.